CUGGUUGAUCCUGCCAGACCCGACUGCUAUCAGAGUGGGACUAAGCCAUGCGAGUCAACGUAGCAAUACGUGGCAUACGGCUCAGUAACACGUAGUCAACAUGCCCAGGGGACGAGGAUAACCUCGGGAAACUGAGGAUAAACCUCGAUAGGCCAAGAUUUCUGGAAUGAUUCCUGGCUAAAACCUAUAUGGCCCCUGGAUUGGACUGCGGCCGAUCAGGCUGUUGGUGAGGUAAUGGCCCACCAAACCUAUUACCGGUACGGGCUCUGAGAGGAGGAGCCCGGAGAUGGGCACUGAGACAAGGGCCCAGGCCCUAUGGGGCGCAGCAGGCGCGAAACCUCUGCAAUAGGCGAAAGCUUGACAGGGUUACUCUGAGUGAUUUCCGCUAAGGGAAUCUUUUGGCACCUCUAAAAAUGGUGCAGAAUAAGGGGUGGGCAAGUCUGGUGUCAGCCGCCGCGGUAAUACCAGCACCCCGAGUGGUCGGGACGAUUAUUGGGCCUAAAGCAUCCGUAGCCGGUCCUGCAAGUCUUCCGUUAAAUCCAGCUGCUCAACAGAUGGGCUGCGGGAGAUACUACAGGGCUAGGACGCGGGAGAGGCAAGCGGUACUUUAUGGGUAGGGGUAAAAUCCGCUGAUCCAUAGAAGACCACCAGUGGCGAAUGCGGCUUGCCAGAACGCGCUCGACGGUGAGGGAUGAAAGCU
This 700-nucleotide ribosomal RNA is filed under the name uncultured archaeon. Its description in RNAcentral is "bacterial SSU rRNA". It matches the Rfam family "Archaeal small subunit ribosomal RNA", at positions 4 to 712 of the family's 1478-position model. The record is from RNAcentral.